AUGGUUCUUGGUUACCCUCCGGUGGAAGCUCAGGCUAUCGCUGACCGACUUAACUGUCGGCUGGGUUCUUUCCCCACGACCUACCUGGGGAUCCCCAUUAGUGAUUCGCGCCUCACCGUGGCGGACCUCCGCCCCACGGUGACCCGUAUGCAACAUCGCGUCGAGCCUUGGAAAGGGCGCUGGCUAUCGAAGGCUGCGUGUGUGAUUCUCAUCAACUCCUCUCUCGCCAGCCUUCUUUGGUACCUCGUGAGCUUUUAUAGCCUCCAUGAAACGCUGCACACGGAAAUUGCCAAGUACCAAUCCAGGUUCUACUGGGCUGGCGAGGAUGACAGACAGAAGUACCAUAUGGUCAGUUGGCCGGACAUAUGUAAACCCAAGGACCAGGGGGGUCUGGGGAUUUUGUCCUCCCGACGCAUGAACAUCGCCCUCCUGACCCGGUGGCUAUGGCGUAUUGCUAAUGGUGAUGGAGGGCUUUGGCUCACCAUCAUCCGGAACAAGUACCUCCGUGGACAGCCUCUGGCUUUCUGUCAGCGUUCGGGCGGAUCCCAGUUUUGGCAGGCCGUCAUUCAGCUGCUCCAUGUACUUCGCAUUGGCACGUCCAUCUCGGUUGGGUCUGGGUCCGCGACCCUGUUCUAG
This 636-nucleotide ribosomal RNA is filed under the name Triticum aestivum (bread wheat). RNAcentral describes it as "partial small subunit ribosomal RNA". The record is from RNAcentral. Lineage: Eukaryota; Viridiplantae; Streptophyta; Magnoliopsida; Poales; Poaceae.